Molecule: ribosomal RNA, 497 nt
Filed under: uncultured bacterium
Lineage: Bacteria
Description: partial 16S ribosomal RNA
Rfam family: Bacterial small subunit ribosomal RNA
Source: RNAcentral
GAUGAACGCUGGCGGCGUGCCUAAUACAUGCAAGUCGAGCGAACGGACGAGAAGCUUGCUUCUCUGAUGUUAGCGGCGGACGGGUGAGUAACACGUGGAUAACCUACCUAUAAGACUGGGAUAACUUCGGGAAACCGGAGCUAAUACCGGAUGAUAUUUUGAACCGCAUGGUUCAAAAGUGAAAGACGGUCUUGCUGUCACUUAUAGAUGGAUCCGCGCUGCAUUAGCUAGUUGGUAAGGUAACGGCUUACCAAGGCAACGAUGCAUAGCCGACCUGAGAGGGUGAUCGGCCACACUAGAACAGAGACACGGUCUAGACUCCUACGGGAGGCAGCAGUAGGGAAUCUUCCGCAAUGGGCGAAAGCCUGACGGAGCAACGCCGCGUGAGUGAUGAAGGUCUUCGGAUCGUAAAACUCUGUUAUUAGGGAAGAACAUAUGUGUAAGUAACUGUGCACAUCUUGACGGUACCUAAUCAGAAAGCCACGGCUAACUACGUG